This 468-nucleotide ribosomal RNA is filed under the name uncultured bacterium. Its description in RNAcentral is "partial 16S ribosomal RNA". It matches the Rfam family "Bacterial small subunit ribosomal RNA", at positions 28 to 507 of the family's 1533-position model. The record is from RNAcentral.
GACGAACGCUGGCGGCGUGCUUAACACAUGCGAGUCGAACGGAAAGGCCCUGCUUUUGUGGGGUGCUCGAGUGGCGAACGGGUGAGUAACACGUGAGUAACCUGCCCUUGACUUUGGGAUAACUUCAGGAAACUGGGGCUAAUACCGGAUAGGAGCUCCUGCUGCAUGGUGGGGGUUGGAAAGUUUCGGCGGUUGGGGAUGGACUCGCGGCUUAUCAGCUUGUUGGUGGGGUAGUGGCUUACCAAGGCUUUGACGGGUAGCCGGCCUGAGAGGGUGACCGGCCACAUUGGGACUGAGAUACGGCCCAGACGCCUACGGGAGGCAGCAGUGGGGAAUAUUGCGCAAUGGGCGGAAGCCUGAUGCAGCAACGCCGCGUGCGGGAUGACGGCCUUCGGGUUGUAAACCGCUUUCGCCUGUGACGAAGCGUGAGUGACGGUAAUGGGUAAAGAAGCACCGGCUAACUACGUG